RNAcentral lists this transfer RNA (54 nucleotides) under Hygrobates turcicus. Its description in RNAcentral is "tRNA-Thr". Lineage: Eukaryota; Metazoa; Arthropoda; Arachnida; Trombidiformes; Hygrobatidae. The record is from RNAcentral.
GGUUUAAUAGUUUAUAUAAAACAUUAAUUUUGUAAAUUAAAAUAAGAUAAACCU